Long non-coding RNA from Homo sapiens (human), 2983 nucleotides. RefSeq lists it as uncharacterized. The record is from RefSeq and is a predicted model, not a curated record. The transcript is spliced from 2 exons. Lineage: Eukaryota; Metazoa; Chordata; Mammalia; Primates; Hominidae.
UGGAAGAUGAGAUGCUGCAGGAUUCUUGUUGACCUCACUAAACUUCUUGACUCUCCGUUUCCUUGUCAAGACAGCUGGGCACUCUUCAGGAUCUGUGGAUACUUCAGGGGUUCACAAUCGCAGUCUAGUCUUUAAGAAGACAUUUGACUUCAUGGUCCAAGAUGGACCACGUUCAGUAUCCACAUUCUGAACAACAAGAUGGAGGAAGAAACAAGAAGAAGCAAAGAGCGCACUUGUGCUGUUUCUAAAAGACUCUCCCAUGAGUUGAAGGGCCAAGAGAAAAACUUGCGUUUCUGUUAAAACUUCAGCAGGCAUUUAUUAUGUCUUCAAUUGUUUUCGUUUUCUUUGCCUUAUGAUAAUCAGGCCAUACUUGGACCUGCUUUGACAUCCUCAUUGAACUUAUGCUUACUAGAGUGGCUCCCCUCAGUUCCCACUCAUUCUGCCUGAGCCAAAUUCCUGUUUCCUAUACCUGCCCACCAUUUGCUUGGCCCCAGGGUUAUGCCUAGCACUUAAAUUCACCACAAACAUCCCUUGAUACCGUACAUCAGAAACAAAAUGUGACCUACAGCAAACCUAAUGAUUAUAAAUUGCUCUUUUCCGAUCCUCCCAUUUUAUUGCUUCCCACUCCCCAAAAAAAGGACUUUAACCAAGUUGCCAAUUCAUCAGCAAUUUAUUUUUUUCCAUAAAGUCACCAAGCUGCCAAAACAUUCAGUUUGGCCAUUUAAAAUCAUUUGAAAUAAUGGCUUUACAUUUUUGGAAUUUAUUUGUUUAUAUAUUUAUAUUUCAUUGGUGCAAAAGUGCUUUCAAAGCAGGGAUUGCUCUCACUGGUUGAGGACAUAUCUUGACUCCCUAACGUUUUCACUGGAAGUUGACAGAGAUGAUAUUUAAAAUGUAUAACAAGUGAGAGCAUAGGCACAGACCAGUCAGGAUGGAUGCCAAUCACAGGUAAACCAUGGGGCUAUUCCAGUAUACAUUAGCAGCAUCUUGGUCCUGGCAGUGACCAUCUGUAAAAUAAGAACAAUAAAGUCCUACCUUCAGAGAAUUUAUUGUGAGCAUUAGAGAAGAUAAUUCAUGUGAAGGAUCUGGCAUAAUAUCUGACACAUUGCAAAAAGUCCAAGCUACCUUUAUUUUCUUAGUUAGCAGAUAUGCUUAUUUUCUUGAGCUCUUUGGCAAAAUUUUUGUAAACUUUAUCGAGCAGAAUGUCCAAUGUUACUUUUCAUAAUUCCCUUUUGAGUUCAGUUCCUGGUCAUCUGAUAAACAAAGAUAAGUUUUAGUUGCUCUGGAUGUUUGGUAAGCUAAAUUUAAGGUUUGGUUAUGAAGACUAUGCUAGCCUUCUUUGGAUAUAAUUGUUGCCUCUUUCCCUAAGAUAUUUAAGUUUUUAUUCUGAUAGCAUAGUGGUUAAAAACACAGGCUAUGAAAGCUAAGUAGGUUUGUAGCCCAUCUCUCCCAGUUCCUAGCUAUGAAAACUUGGGCCAGUUGCUCCACCCUUCUAAGCCUCAUUUCUCUCAUUUGUCCAAUAGGUAUAAUACAAUGCUGCUACCUUGUAGAUUCAACAAUAUACUUUAGAACAUCUAAAACAUCUUUCUACCUAGCAGAAAGAAAAACCACUCAGUCAGCAUUAGCUAUUCUUAUUUUGUUGUUAACUAUCUGUAUCUCUUUUCUGAAGUAAAGGCAGUAUCAGUCAUAAACUUAAACUAUGAAGAGGCCAUUAAAGGAGUUUUCAUUAAUCUUUUCAUUAUACAGGGUUCUGAUUUUUUAAAGGUCUUUAGUUUCUAUACAUAAAAUACUUGUAUUUAUUUACAGCAGUUGUAUAAACAAGGAUUCAAAAAUACUUAUACUACACUCAGAUGUGUAGAGAACAUGUACAGUAAUAUCUUUUUCGGUGAAUAAUGAAUCAGAUUCCCUUCAUGUGCUCCCACUUGUCAGGUAUUGUGGGGAAGAGGAACCACUAACUGUUAUGCCACUCCAAUAAACUUAAUCUACUGAAAUAAUUUAAAUAACCCUUUAGAUAAGCACUAAAUCUCUUUUAGUAGUUUAGUCUCUCAAAUUUUCACCACCUUCUUCCAGAGCCUCUCUUUUUUGUCAUCUGGGUUCAUAGAACAAGGGCAAUAGCUGAGUGUUCAAUGACAGCAGAGGUGACAUGAAGUCCUCAAAUCCUUGUGAUGGCAUCUGGGCCACUGCUUGUCUUUGCCAUUGAGUGGCUAUUCCCCAGUGCUCCCUGGUGAGUGCUCAAGGGUGACUGGCCCCAUCCCUGUGCCUUCUCCUGGCCAGUGCUGCUGAAGUGCAGUGUGGUACCUCAGCUUCUUCAGAACCAGGUUAUGCUCUUCCAGAUGGCUCAGCCUUGACUUGGCUUUCAACUGAUGCUGAAGACUCCUCUAAGACACUGCCUUUCCCUAUCCAGCCCUGAGCUAUGAUGCCUACCUAAGCUGUGCCAUUUUUACCAUAGCAGACCCCAUAGCAGGCCCACCUUCCUCAUGCCCCUUCAGCAAUAUACAGGGAUUUUCAUCUUUGCCAUCUAGAAACCAAGGACAACUCAGGAAAACUUAACUCAGGCCCAAACGCUAUGCAAUCACGCUGUGCCACAGAGAUCUCUGCUGUGGCUGCUCCCAGUUGGUAUAGAAGCUCCCUCUGGAGCCCCAAAUGUGGAACAAGGCAAUGCCCCUCAACAUGAAUGCUCUCAUUCUGGUCAAAGCUCAGAGAGUGGACACUAGGCCACUUGAUCCUCACCCUUCAUCUCUCUUCAAUCUGUUUCCCUUCUUCCCCACAAUCCCGUGGAACCCAAAAGGGCAACAUUCAUGCUUUCCACUUCCUUUAAGUCACAUCCUCCCUUGCAGACUCCAGCCUCAUGGUGGAAUCUUAAUGGUAGACAAGAUAUGGGAGAAAAAAAAUCGGCUUACUAAUUAGAUGAUUUUUAAAUGACUGCAUUACUAAUUGGCUUAUAGGUAUUUUUGGUUUAAAUAAAACUGUAUUGCAUUACCAUUAA